GACGAACGCUGGCGGCGUGCUUAACACAUGCAAGUCGAACGGAAAGGCCCUGCUUUUGUGGGGUGCUCGAGUGGCGAACGGGCGAGUAACACGUGAGUAACCUGCCCUUGACUUUGGUAUAACUUCAGGAAACUGGGGCUAAUACCGGAUAGGAGCUCCUGCUGCAUGGUGGGGGUUGGAAAGUUUCGGCGGUUGGGGAUGGACUCGCGGCUUAUCAGCUUGUUGGUGGGGUAGUGGCUUACCAAGGCUUUGACGGGUAGCCGGCCUGAGAGGGUGACCGGCCACAUUGGAACUGAGAUACGGCCCAGACUCCUACGGGAGGCAGCAGUGGGGAAUAUUGCACAAUGGGCGGAAGCCUGAUGCAGCAACGCCGCGUGCGGGAUGACGGCCUUCGGGUUGUAAACCGCUUUCGCCUGUGACGAAGCGUGAGUGACGGUAAUGGGUAAAGAAGCACCGGCUAACUACGU
RNAcentral lists this ribosomal RNA (467 nucleotides) under uncultured bacterium. RNAcentral's name for it is "partial 16S ribosomal RNA". It matches the Rfam family "Bacterial small subunit ribosomal RNA", at positions 28 to 506 of the family's 1533-position model. The record is from RNAcentral.